RNAcentral lists this long non-coding RNA (397 nucleotides) under Lepidothrix coronata (blue-crowned manakin). RNAcentral's name for it is "lncRNA (ENSLCOG00000014733.1)". The record is from RNAcentral. Lineage: Eukaryota; Metazoa; Chordata; Aves; Passeriformes; Pipridae.
ACGCUGCCUGCCAAGGACUGCAAAUAACCUGCCUGUGUGCUUGCCACUGCCUUCACCCCUUAAAAAGUAGACUCGAAGGAGCUGCAGUGACUGUUACACUGGAGGAAAGUGUUCCCUGGACACUCCCAGAGACAACUAUAUCACCAGAGCAGGUACAGUACAACAGCCAAACAAACCUCUUAUUCCAUGUCAGGCCUGUAGAGCAUCCCUGGGAGGGGGAGGAUGCGUUGGCACUUGGCCUGGAGGCUGGUGACUAAGGAGCCUGUGGUGUCGGGGUUGUUGCAGUGUAAACUUGCACCUGAACCCGAGCAAACUGGGCUGUGACAAGCAUUGCCAGCAAGGAGCAGCAGAGCAGCUGGUCCCUGUGCCUGGGAAACCCCUUCUGAGCCGUGGGAUC